Molecule: ribosomal RNA, 485 nt
Filed under: Vicia sativa (common vetch)
Lineage: Eukaryota; Viridiplantae; Streptophyta; Magnoliopsida; Fabales; Fabaceae
Description: eukaryotic LSU rRNA
Rfam family: Eukaryotic large subunit ribosomal RNA (bases 322-485)
Source: RNAcentral
UUUAUGCGAUACUUGGUGUGAAUUGCAGAAUCCCGUGAACCAUCGAGUCUUUGAACGCAAGUUGCGCCCGAUGCCAUUAGGUUGAGGGCACGUCUGCCUGGGUGUCACAUAUCGAAGCCUCCUGCCAAUUUCCCUUUGAUUAUUGUGCAGGGUGGAUGUUGGCCUCCCGUGAGCUCUUUCGUCUCAUGGUUGGUUGAAAAUUGAGACCUUGGUAGGGUGUGCCAUGAUAGAUGGUGGUUGUGUGAUCCACGAGACCAAUCAUGUGCUGCUCUAUUAAAUAUGGCCUCUUUUACCCAUAUGCGUUUCUAAACGCUCGUGAUGAGACCUCAGGUCAGGCGGGGCUACCCGCUGAAUUUAAGCAUAUCAAUAAGCGGAGGAAAAGAAACUAACAAGGAUUCCCUUAGUAACGGCGAGCGAACCGGGAUAAGCCCACCAUGAGAAUCGGUCGCCCUCGGCGUUCGAAUUGUAGUCUGGGGAAGCGUCAA